UGGCCAAAGUCCGUAUGA
Molecule: small nuclear RNA, 18 nt
Filed under: Arabidopsis thaliana (thale cress)
Lineage: Eukaryota; Viridiplantae; Streptophyta; Magnoliopsida; Brassicales; Brassicaceae
Description: snRNA_00929
Source: RNAcentral